Lathyrus oleraceus (garden pea) is the source of this 1150-nucleotide long non-coding RNA. RefSeq lists it as uncharacterized. NCBI's taxonomy places the organism in Eukaryota, Viridiplantae, Streptophyta, Magnoliopsida, Fabales, Fabaceae. The record is from RefSeq and is a predicted model, not a curated record. The transcript is spliced from 6 exons.
CUAUGACCACCAGUCCAAGAACUUCGCCUCCUACACGAAGGGAGAUGAACGGCUGCGAGACUAAAUGCCAUGAACAUACGCGGCCAUGAACGUAUUCGCCGGAACUCACAUGAAGCCGUGUCAAAACCUAGGCGCGGCGGAACUCGCGACCGGAUAAAUUAGCAAGCUAAAUACAUACCGGUGUUUGAAGUGGUGGUUCGUCGGACUUUGACGUUGCAUUCACCGGUAACACGUUCCCCUUUACCUUUCUUGAUUCAAUCCUUCUUCUACGGCAAUCCUCUACUGAUGUCUUGCACACGACUAAGAGCUGCAGAAUUGGAAGCCGGAAGAACGAAGCGACUCGGAUUCGGGUUGCAGAACAGACGUCCCCGAUCGCAGAGAGAAGAUCCAGGUUGAAAAGGAGAUGUAGCCGAAGAACCGACCGUGAGACGUGAUGGCGUUGUUGCGUCGCCGACGAGGGGUCCUGGAAAAUGCCCUGGUUGUAGAGCAUGGCAGAAAGAAGAUGAAGGUAAGGUUUGUGUGAGUUUUUGAUUGAAGGUUGUGGUGAAUUCAACUCCGAGAGGAUGGUUGAAGCUUGAAGAAAAUGGAGUUUCAAGGUGGAUUGAGGAAGAAGACCCAAAGUGAAUUCUAACGGAAGACUUCAGAGUGAAUUUUUGGAAGCCGACUCAAAGUGAAUUGAGGGGUGCUUUUAAGUCACAAAUAACCCACCAGCUAUGGAUUCUCAUUAUUAUGGAUUACCAAGUAAUGGAUUGCUCAUUCGGAUCGGGUAUGCUAAUGAAAUCUCAAUUGGUUGGAGAUUGCUUGGAUAUAAAUUGGGAAUGGUUUGGUGGUGGAGAUGAACGAGUAUAACUUGGAAGUAAGCUUCCUGUGCAGGAAGUUUUAAGAGAUUGAAUUGGAAGAAAGAAAAUUGUAUUAUUACUUGGCAUUAUAUUGAAUGCCUCAAUUAAUUGUCAAUUUUGUAUUAGAUUUAAGUUGAAUAACUUGGAAGUAAGCUUCCUGUACAGGAAGUUUUAAGAGAUUGAAUUGGAAGAAAGAAAAUUGUAUUAUUACUUGGCAUUAUAUUGAAUGCCUCAAUUAAUUGUCAAUUUUGUAUUAGAUUUAAGUUGAAUGAGAAUAAAUUAUUAUUAUGGAAAAUUUCUAUGUUAGCUAA